UACGUAGGGUGCGAGCGUUAAUCGGAAUUACUGGGCGUAAAGCGUGCGCAGGCGGUUUUGUAAGCCAGAUGUGAAAUCCCCGGGCUUAACCUGGGAAUGGCAUUGGUGACUGCACGGCUAGAGUGUGUCAGAGGGGGGUAGAAUUCCACGUGUAGCGGUGAAAUGCGUAGAGAUGUGGAGGAAUACCGAUGGCGAAGGCAGCCCCCUGGGAUAACACUGACGCUCAUGCACGAAAGCGUGGGGAGCAAACAGG
Molecule: ribosomal RNA, 253 nt
Filed under: uncultured bacterium
Lineage: Bacteria
Description: partial 16S ribosomal RNA
Rfam family: Bacterial small subunit ribosomal RNA
Source: RNAcentral